AAAUCUCAAUUAAGAUAUCUUCUCUCCUGUGUGUGUGCGCGUUGGUGCAUGUGUAUGUACGUGCGUGCGUGCACACGUGUGUGUGUGCGUGUGUGUGUGUCUGUAAGAAAAAAAAAGGUUGAUAAGAACUAGAGAAGAAAUAAAAAAAAAUAUGGAAAUAAAAUAAGAGAAAAGGAAGGAAGGAAAGAAGAGAAAAAGGAGAAAGAAGAAGAAAGCUUCGAAGAGGAAACAAAAC
RNAcentral lists this long non-coding RNA (235 nucleotides) under Lathyrus oleraceus (garden pea). Its description in RNAcentral is "Pisum sativum (pea) long non-coding RNA (PSAT_LNC023552)". Lineage: Eukaryota; Viridiplantae; Streptophyta; Magnoliopsida; Fabales; Fabaceae. The record is from RNAcentral.